Molecule: long non-coding RNA, 705 nt
Organism: Physcomitrium patens
Lineage: Eukaryota; Viridiplantae; Streptophyta; Bryopsida; Funariales; Funariaceae
Source: RefSeq, a predicted model, not a curated record
GCCGUGUCAUUCCCAUCCAAUUCGUUGUGUCGCCCUCACUUCGCUCCGUCCGCUUCGAGUACCGACAGGGCAAAUUCACAUGACGCAGCACAACAAGGAAUCGAUUCUCGAUGUGGGUGUUCGGAAUUCGUCAAGGAUGGUGCAGUGCUAAAAUUUGCAGACGAAUAGAAGCCAGAGGAAGCAGUCUCAUCGAAGGACGCUCGGGCGCUGGAUUUGGGAGUCCGUUUUUCAGACGAUGCAAACUACAGUGAGCAAUGCGGCUCUGAAACAGCCAGGUGAUGGCGUAUGCAAGGACGGAGCAAUACAAGGUUGCAAAAUGUGAUUUGGAGGCGUGGCAAUUGUCGGCACAACUCUUUGUCUCAGGAUCUCCGAAUCGGGGGAUAGAAAUUUAAUUGGUUUUCAGACGGUGCAUGGGAAAAACAACCAUGAGAAGGAGAGUAGCUCGUAAAUUCAAAACCCAGGGAACAUCCUCUGAACUCUCUUAAAGCAGAAAGGCAACUGAACAUCAAAUACAACGAGUUAUACUGUAUAUCUGUUCGAGACUUUGAUGCUUGCCUUAAAUCUUGGACUUGUGUGGAUUGAUAUAACCUAAUCUGCUGGCGAUGCAUUUUGAUAGAAGUUCUCCUUCGCAAGGAGAAGGUGCUUCACCAGGUGGCAGGUAUGGUGUCAAUUCUUCAUAGUUCUUGUAUAAAAUUAACUUUGAAA